AACUCUUAGCGGUGGAUCACUCGGCUCGUGCGUCGAUGAAGAACGCAGCUAGCUGCGAGAAUUAAUGUGCAUUGCAGGACACAUUGAUCAUCGACACUUCGAACGCACUUGCGGCCCCGGGGUCCUCCCGGGGCUACGCCUGUCUGAGCGUCG
Molecule: ribosomal RNA, 153 nt
Filed under: Pelusios castaneus (West African mud turtle)
Lineage: Eukaryota; Metazoa; Chordata; Testudines; Pelomedusidae
Description: 5.8S ribosomal RNA (ENSPCEG00000010995.1)
Rfam family: 5.8S ribosomal RNA
About the family: 5.8S ribosomal RNA (5.8S rRNA) is a component of the large subunit of the eukaryotic ribosome. It is transcribed by RNA polymerase I as part of the 45S precursor that also contains 18S and 28S rRNA.
Source: Rfam by way of RNAcentral